Molecule: long non-coding RNA, 889 nt
Organism: Hyla sarda
Lineage: Eukaryota; Metazoa; Chordata; Amphibia; Anura; Hylidae
Exons: 3
Source: RefSeq, a predicted model, not a curated record
CUUGGAUAAAAUAAGCAUGAAGUUUAGUGACUCCAAUACGUGGAUCCUCUUCACUGUGUGUCUGAACACUUCCUUCCCUGUCUACUGCUCUGAGGCCCCGCAGUGGAGUUGGGGACGUGUCAGGACACUUACUGCCCCAGGGUGUCCAACAUCACAGUGCAUGCAUGGAAGCAAUGAAGAAGGUUCAGUCAUCCAAGUGUGGUGAGGGAGGAGACCCAUGGAUCCCCCAGCUUAAGGGCUUGGUUCUAACGACUAUCUCUAUAGCUAUGCCAGAAAAGAAAGAAGAAAACUAUUGAGGAAUUUAUAAUGCUGUAGGAAUGUUCUUCACUAUGGAAGCAUUUCUCUUAAAAACUGGAGAAACAGGUGCCUGACAUUUAAGAAUUUCCUUCCUACUUGAAGAAGAAACAUCCCACAGCUGAGUAAUUUGGAAACGAGCAAGAUAUGCAACAUUCUGUAUGUUCUAGCAGCCAAAGUAAAGCAAGCAUUAGAGAGCUCAAGAUGUGUAGAGCAGCUAAAAGAUCUGUACUGUAUGAGGAAUAACAAGACCUGCCAUAGUGGGAAUGUACAGGACAUUUUGCAUCGCAAUGUUACUGUGGGUGUUCUAUAAGGAUGUGUCUGCUGCCACCUACUGUUAUUGUAAAAUAUUGCAAGGCUGGAGUAGAAACUGUUAGGUAAUGAUUCAACAAUGUGUAGGGCUGCUAUAUAUAUUUUGUAUGUUUACUGUAAAUUAAACAACAACAACAACAAUUCAUAUAAUACAAUAGAAAAUGAAGCAUUAUGAAGCUACAGAAUACUUCACACUUGUCUAGUUCAUUCUUCUGUUGGACCUGUUUAGCUAUGAUGGGAUGACUCAGGGUGUCUUGAGUGAAGCCACAUAUGGCCGACAGAA